Molecule: long non-coding RNA, 1920 nt
Organism: Gadus macrocephalus (Pacific cod)
Lineage: Eukaryota; Metazoa; Chordata; Actinopteri; Gadiformes; Gadidae
Exons: 2
Source: RefSeq, a predicted model, not a curated record
GCUCCAAAAAACGGUGGCCUUCAUAGCAAUAGAUUUUCAUCUUAAGGACUCUGACACCGUAGCGCUCGGUUCAGACUCUAUCCUUUUUUAGUUUAGUUUUAGAAAUCCAACCUCAAGCUCCUCUUGGAGAAACGUUGGUACUUUUAAUAGGCUUAGUCUUAAGCGUGAUUAAAUAAAGACAGCUCUCGGGGUUGUGCGGUGUACUGGGGCACGAGAGUUGCGUCAACGUUAAAACCUGGGCUCCACUCGGGAAACGUUGGUAGUUUAGUCCUAAAAACACCUUCCUUGAGCUCCUCUUGAGAAUCGUUGGUGGCUUUAGUAGGUUUAGUCCUAAAACACCUUCCUUGAGCUCCUCUUGAGAAUCGUUGGUGGCUUUAGUAGGUUUAGUCCUAAAACACCUUCCUUGAGCUCCUCUUGAGAAUCGUUGGUGGCUUUAGUAGGUUUAGUCUUAAAAACCCCUUCCUCGAGAGCCGCUUGAGAACCGUCGGUGGUUUUAAUAGGAUCCCCCCCCCCCCUCUUACAACGCUGCCUACCCUUCCUGGGGAAAGGCUCAAUUAGGAUCCCCUCUUAGAGUUAGCAAUAGUUUGGUUAAAAUCCUGUCCAUUUUUCAUCUAUUUUCUUCUUCUUUUACUGUCUUUUCUUUUCAAAAUCUAUACUCAGUUGUAAAAGUUAUUGUGUUUAUUGGACCUAAAAAUAAAUCUACCUGACUACAUUUGUAGUAGGUUAACUCAAUCGUUCGAGUCCUUUUCCCUGUCGACUCCUCGACAAAGGCAAAGCAGAACGACGCGCUCUCCCAGCCGAUCCCCUCACGGUAAGUGGCGCAUUUUACAAGCAAUGGUUGAUUGUGACUGACGUGUAUAGAGGGUGACAAGGCAGAGACGUAAAAUAGGUUUUGUUAAUUCACAAGGCAAAAAGAUACAUCAUUAUUUCGUAUUAACCAAGAGAGAGACCUUGAUCCCGCUAAACGGGGGGGACAGGUCUGAAUUCGUAUUAAAGUAACAGUUGUGAAGGGACUUAACAGAGUGACCUGGGUCGGACCGGGUUAAGACUGAGCCGAGCCGGGCCGAGCGCCUAAGUGAAAUCGACGAACCAUGGAAACAAGUGGGUCUCAACCUAGGUUGGUCCCGGGGAGCGUACGUGCGACACACACACACACACACACACACACACACACACACACACACACACACACACACACACACACACACACACACACACACACACACACACACACACACCUCUGCGGAGCGGUGUGUCGUACGCAAUAGUUCCUAUAAAUCACUCCGCGUGCGGUGCGAACACUCGACAGUAACAGCAGACAUUAGUAGUUAUGCUUGCUUGGAUAAAGUUAGCUGACCAGCUAGGCCUACUAGCCAGCUUGUGCAACAUUACUGACAAUAGGUAAUGUUAUGAUGCUACUUUAGCACAUUGCCAGCUAGCUCACUUAAUGUUACCAUCGCCACUUAACAUCUAGCCUCACUAAAGGCUAACAAGGCAUAAAUAUAGAGCGGUCUGCCAUCGGCAAUGUCGAACUGAAGUGGAGCUACCGGGACCCACACUGCCUUGCAGGAACUCAAAGCUUGUGGUCUCCAUCACUGUCUCCAUCUCAACGCCAUUUUGCUGGGGAAGGGGAAGCAAGACAGUAAUGAGGAGCUGCUGCAAUAUCUGGAGAGGGAAGAUGAGAGGUUCUUGCAGCACAGCAAGGUGAUGAACGACGCCUUGCUGUACAAAAUGAAAGCAGACACAAGUUUGGUCUCAUGGGCGGCGGGCCGCAUGGUGGCAGUGAGAGGCUCCCUUCUGCAACUGACCGCACAUGAACCGCAUGGCACAGUUUUACGUAUUUGGUGUAUUUAGCUGUAUUUACUAAAUCAUUGUGAGUUUCUUUGCAUUGUUAUUCAAAAUAAACCCAUUUUCUUAUUA